AGCGAACGCUGGCGGCAGGCCUAACACAUGCAAGUCGAACGAACUCUUCGGAGUUAGUGGCGGACGGGUGAGUAACACGUGGGAACGUGCCUUUAGGUUCGGAAUAACUCAGGGAAACUUGUGCUAAUACCGAAUGUGCCCUUCGGGGGAAAGAUUUAUCGCCUUUAGAGCGGCCCGCGUCUGAUUAGCUAGUUGGUGAGGUAAAGGCUCACCAAGGCGACGAUCAGUAGCUGGUCUGAGAGGAUGAUCAGCCACACUGGGACUGAGACACGGCCCAAACUCCUACGGGAUGGAGCAGUGGGGAAUCUAGCACAAUGGCCGAAAGCCUGACGCAGCCAUGCCGGGUGAAUGAUGAUAUUCUUAGGAUUGUAAAAUUCUUUCACCGGGGACGAUAUUGACGGUACCCAGUGAAGAAGCCCCGGCUAACUUCGUG
This 433-nucleotide ribosomal RNA is filed under the name uncultured bacterium. Its description in RNAcentral is "partial 16S ribosomal RNA". It matches the Rfam family "Bacterial small subunit ribosomal RNA", at positions 29 to 507 of the family's 1533-position model. The record is from RNAcentral.